This 253-nucleotide ribosomal RNA is filed under the name uncultured bacterium. Its description in RNAcentral is "partial 16S ribosomal RNA". It matches the Rfam family "Bacterial small subunit ribosomal RNA", at positions 524 to 776 of the family's 1533-position model. The record is from RNAcentral.
UACGGAGGGGGCUAGCGUUGUUCGGAAUUACUGGGCGUAAAGCGCGCGUAGGCGGCUUUGUAAGUUAGAGGUGAAAGCCCGGAGCUCAACUCCGGAAUUGCCUUUAAGACUGCAUCGCUAGAAUCAUGGAGAGGUCAAUGGAAUUCCGAGUGUAGAGGUGAAAUUCGUAGAUAUUCGGAAGAACACCAGUGGCGAAGGCGACUGACUGGACAUGUAUUGACGCUGAGGUGCGAAAGCGUGGGGAGCAAACAGG